Molecule: small RNA, 556 nt
Filed under: Colletotrichum sp. QZ7L
Lineage: Eukaryota; Fungi; Ascomycota; Sordariomycetes; Glomerellales; Glomerellaceae
Description: eukaryotic LSU rRNA
Rfam family: 5.8S ribosomal RNA (bases 184-337)
Source: RNAcentral
GGGGUCUGACUACGCUCUAUACCCUUUGUGACAUACCUAACCGUUGCUUCGGCGGGCAGGGGAAGCCUCUCGCGGGCCUCCCCUCCCGGCGCCGGCCCCCACCACGGGGACGGGGCGCCCGCCGGAGGAAACCAAACUCUAUUUACACGACGUCUCUUCUGAGUGGCACAAGCAAAUAAUUAAAACUUUUAACAACGGAUCUCUUGGUUCUGGCAUCGAUGAAGAACGCAGCGAAAUGCGAUAAGUAAUGUGAAUUGCAGAAUUCAGUGAAUCAUCGAAUCUUUGAACGCACAUUGCGCUCGCCAGCAUUCUGGCGAGCAUGCCUGUUCGAGCGUCAUUUCAACCCUCAAGCACCGCUUGGUUUUGGGGCCCCACGGCACACGUGGGCCCUUAAAGGUAGUGGCGGACCCUCCCGGAGCCUCCUUUGCGUAGUAACUAACGUCUCGCACUGGGAUCCGGAGGGACUCUUGCCGUAAAACCCCCAAAUUUUUUACAGGUUGACCUCGGAUCAGGUAGGAAUACCCGCUGAACUUAAGCAUAUCAAUAACCGGAGGAA